GACGAACGCUGGCGGCGUGCUUAACACAUGCAAGUCGAACGGAAAGGCCCUGCUUUUGUGGGGUGCUCGAGUGGCGAACGGGUGAGUAACACGUGAGUAACCUGCCCUUGACUUUGGGAUAACUUCAGGAAACUGGGGCUAAUACCGGAUAGGAGCUCCUGCUGCAUGGUGGGGGUUGGAAAGUUUCGGCGGUUGGGGAUGGACUCGCGGCUUAUCAGCUUGUUGGUGGGGUAGUGGCUUACCAAGGCUUUGACGGGUAGCCGGCCUGAGAGGGUGGCCGGAGGCAGGGGGAAUGAGGGAGGGACGGGAGGAAGAAGGGAGCGAGCAGGGGGGGAGGGGGGAGACGGGGGGGAAGCUGGAGGCCGUGACGGCGUGUGAGGGAGGAUGGGGGUGGGGAAGGAAAACGGAGGCGCCGGUGAAGAAGGGGGAGGGACGGGAAGGGAUAAAGAAGCAAGCGCUAACCACGUC
Molecule: ribosomal RNA, 468 nt
Filed under: uncultured bacterium
Lineage: Bacteria
Description: partial 16S ribosomal RNA
Rfam family: Bacterial small subunit ribosomal RNA (bases 20-332)
Source: RNAcentral